This 468-nucleotide ribosomal RNA is filed under the name uncultured bacterium. RNAcentral's name for it is "partial 16S ribosomal RNA". It matches the Rfam family "Bacterial small subunit ribosomal RNA", at positions 28 to 507 of the family's 1533-position model. The record is from RNAcentral.
GACGAACGCUGGCGGCGUGCUUAACACAUGCAAGUCGAACGGAAAGGCCCUGCUUUUGUGGGGUGCUCGAGUGGCGAACGGGUGAGUAACACGUGAGUAACCUGCCCUUGACUUUGGGAUAACUUCAGGAAACUGGGGCUAAUACCGGAUAGGAGCUCCUGCUGCAUGGUGGGGGUUGGAAAGUUUCGGCGGUUGGGGAUGGACUCGCGGCUUAUCAGCUUGUUGGUGGGGUAGUGGCUUACCAAGGCUUUGACGGGUAGCCGGCCUGGGAGGGUGACCGGCCACCUUGGGACUGAGAUACGGCCCAGACUCCUACGGGAGGCAGCAGUGGGGAAUAUUGCACAAUGGGCGGACGCCUGAUGCAGCAACGCCGCGUGCGGGAUGACGGCCUUCGGGGUGUAAACCGCUUUCGCCUGUGACGAAGCGUGAGUGACGGUAAUGGGUAAAGAAGCACCGGCUAACUACGUG